RNAcentral lists this long non-coding RNA (37727 nucleotides) under Ananas comosus (pineapple). Its description in RNAcentral is "long non-coding RNA (ACOM_LNC000736)". Lineage: Eukaryota; Viridiplantae; Streptophyta; Magnoliopsida; Poales; Bromeliaceae. The record is from RNAcentral.
AUUUAUUUUUUAUCUUGGUAACGCACACUAGCUAGGGUGUGGGGCUGGGUAAGUCGGGUCCGAUGGUCGGGUCGAGUUCAGGCCCAAAUUAAUAUUCUUUAAAUACACUAUUAUAUUAGUUGAUCUCAGAUUACAUGCAGUUGGACUUUUGACAAAAUCAUGACUGUGUUCAUAUUUUUAUUCAGAUUCGAAUAAUAUCGAAUUCUAAAUUUUUGUUACCAUUUAGGGCCCGUUUGGCCUAGCUUUUGGAAAAGUGAUUUCUGCAGAAGUGAUUUUAGUUUGAAAAAGUGAUUUAUGUUAAAAGCUGUAGAGCGUUUGGCUGAGUCUGAUAGAAAAAUGAUUGUGCUGAAGUAAUUUUAGAAAGUUGUUUAGCAAAUUUUUUUGCUGAAGUGAUUUUGUAAUGCUAUUUAACAUUAGUAGAUGUUAUUAUUAUAUGCAAAAGAAGCUAUUUGCUCUAAAUAUUCCUCUUUUCCAUAAGCAGGAUACAUAUAUUACAAGUACUACAAAAAUCCACCGAGUCACAUUUGCUAAUCCGACGUUAAAUAAUCAAAAUUUAUUAACCAUAUUUUACUCUUAAUCGUUCCCCUCAUAAACCUCCAGGUGCUAAAAUAAUACAAGAGGCCGAUUCUCUUCUUCAAUCACUACACGCCAGAAUUGUAACAUCCCCUUACACAUUUGGAGGGACAAUCACCUCUACUUAAGUACCCAUAGUGUGAUAUUAUUCAAUGCAUAAGUAAUUGGCUCUUUAUGUCCUUAGGUAGUGAUGGACUCCUUGUACACAGGGAACUCGAGAAGAGUUCAUCUUUGCAUCAUUUCGACUAAUUUCGGCGAAGCCGAAGCUCGUCGGCGCAGAUCCGGCCAAGCCGGCGGGAUCCGUCUUUGCCGGAUCACGCCGGCGCGGAUCUCGGGCCAGAUCUGGUGCCGGGCGCGGAUCUGGGGCCGGAUCUAGUGCCGGGCGCAGAUUAGAGAGAGAAAUCAAGAGAGGGAGGGAGAUAAAUCUGUAUGAAAAAAAAAAACAUUCUCCUUUAAAAAAAAAGGGAGUAUUUUGGAGAUUCGCUGGAAAAAAAACUUGUCGGAGACUCGCCGGAGAAAAAACUCGCUGGUAGAAAAGACGUCGCCGGAGAGGAAAAUGGGAGAGAGAUGAAGAAGAGAGGAGAUGAGAGUGAUUAGAUGAAGAAGAGAGGAGAGGAGUGUUUUUUUUUUUUUUUCUUUUGAGAGUAGGUGGCUGUGAGUAAUGGGAAAGAGUAAUGGGAGAGAUAGUAUUAUAAUUAUAAAAAGACAUGAAAGAAUUGUGUUGAUUGUUUAAGGGUAAUUCCGGUAUUUUCUUAAAAAAAUUUAAGUGGGUUUCAGCUUGUGCGGGAAUCUGUUUUGAAAAGUAAGUUUUUUUUAGCUUCUGCUUUUGGGAGUUGAAGAAUCAAUUUUCAGCUUUUAGAAAGCAGAAUCAGAUUUUUAAAAUACCUCUACCAAAACACUCUAUUGGGCCUAAAAGUGAUUUUCAGCUGAAAAUCACUUUCAAAUAGCUUGGCCAAACAGGGCCUUAUUCGGACUCGGAUAUGAUUUAGAUUUGUGUAUAUAAAUAUUAUUCAGAUAAUAAUAUAUAAUAAUACGCAUAUAUAAAUAUAAACUGAAUUAGCAUGAAUAAAAUACGAUACAACUAUAUAUGGUUCUACACUCGUGCUCAAAUAUCAAUCAUACUAGUUAAGCGCCCCGCGCGAUGCGGCGGGCGCGAUGCAACGAAAAGACAAUACAACAGUAAAUUAUUAUAACUAUUAACAUCACUUUUUUUUUCCUAUUAUGCAUUAAUAUUUUUAAAUAUUAAUGCUUCUAAUCGGUAAGGGUUACCGAUUAAUAAGUUCGAUGCGGCGGAAAGAUAAAAUACAAUAGUAAAUUAUUAUAGCGAUUAAUAUCACUUUAAAAUAAAAUUUUAAUUUUGAAUGCAAAUUCAAAGAUCAAAAUCAAAACAAAAAAAUUAAAAUUUGAAAUCAAAAUUUACAAAAUUUAAGUUUGAAAUCAAAAUUUUAAAAAUUUAAGUUUGAAAUCAAAAUUUAGAUUUAAUUUAAAAUUCAAUUUAAAUUUUGAAUUCAAAUUAUAAUUCAAAAUUCUAAUUACUAAUUAGUUCAAAAUUUUAAUUUUANGAAAUUGAAGGAUGUUAUAUAUGAACUUGAAAUUUUAGAUAAUUUUAUUUUUGUCAAAAAAAAUUGUGUAUACCUAAGUUGCGUGUAAUAUACUAAUAAUAUAUAGCUAAGAUGUGCAUGUAUCAAGACAUUCAUUUGAAAUUUCACAUUAUUUAUAUCAAAAUUAGCAUGAAUAAUUCUUUAAAAAAUUGUGUGGGCCCCACAAACCUUCAAAAUAAGGAGAGGCCUUCAUUAGGAUUAUCGAUUCAUAUAUAUAUGUUUUGAGAACUAAAGUGAAAAGCAUAUAAAAUUUAGGGAUCAAAAUUAGCAUGAAAAAAAAGGUUAAAUAUGCGAUGACAUGAUAAUUUCGAUAAUUAUAAAAUAUUUUUUAACGGUUGCUAUUUUAUCACGAUGAAAUUAAGAGAUUUGAAAACUUAAUUGUAAAAAAGAAAAUUGGAACCAAAAUAAAACGGUGGAAAAUUUGGGCAUCACUAUGUAAUUAAUCCUAAAAAAAUCUCAAAAAAAUCCCAUAAUAAGGGGAGGCAUUCAUUCUUUAAGUUCCAAAUUAGAUAAAAUUUUAAUUUGGUUAUCUAUAGUAAAAAUAAUAAAAAAUUGUUGUAGAAAAAAAAUAAAAAAAAAAUAUUGAGAGAGGAAAAAUAAAAAAAUGUAAGAGAGAGAGAGAGAGAGAGAGAGAGAGAGUGUGUGUGUGAGUGAGAGAAAAAAAAAAAAAAAAAAGUGGGACCCACCAAAGCUUCCCGCCAAAUAUGGGAAAAAUUCUAGAAUGCAACGGGUAUAUUGGUGACGUGGCAUAACAAACCAAUCAAAUGUAUCCUUUUAGGGAUAUAUGUUCUAUCAUGAUUGUAAAAAAAAUAUUUUUAUUGUACUUUUGUUUGAAAAGAAGAAAUAUGAUUAGCUUGUUAUUAAUGACGUGGUGCAAGCGUGACAGUGUAGAAUUCCUCCAAACGCGGGGAGGCUUUGGUGGGUUCCAAAUUCACAAUAUAAUAAAUGCCUACAUUCUAUUCAAUAAAAUUUAAUAUUUUACAAACAUAAAUGUAAUUUUAACGUAAAACUUCUAGUAAAAUAAAUAAAGAAUAUAAGAAAAAACCAUGUAUCUUAUCUCCCUAUAAUAUAUAUCAAUAUCUUUCUUUAUCAUAUCUAUAAUAUCCGCACUUUUUUCAUAUGUGAAUUAGAAUACAUUCAUGUGUAUAGGAUGCUAAAUUUUGAUAUCUAUAUUUGUGUCUUAUCGAAUUCAGUAUCGACUUGAAACGGAUUUUAUCCUAUCUGCUUUUAUUCCGAUGGCUAAUAUGCCCGAAUGGAGGAGACUUAAAUUAACUUUGCAUAUAUCUUGUGCAAUUUCCAUUAUUCCAUUUCAUCGAUCUUUUCGGUAUGGAGCUCCUUAUUUUUGUUUUAAAAUAGUAAUUUUUCUACCCUAGGACUCUCAUUUUACGGAACUUGUGAAACUUAAUUUUGUCGUGCGCCUUCUAAUAUUCUUUUCUGUAUUGUGCCCUGGCCAAUUCGGUUGUUAUAAGAGAGAUGGGCUAUAGAUGACGCACACCCGACCCACGUGGGUAUAGAUCAUCCAAAUGUUUACAUUGAUAGGAAAUUAACCUAACAACAUGCAUGACCUAUAUAAAUUUAAUUUUAGGGAUAAUUGCUUAUAUACCCCUCGUAUGUUUGAAAAUAUCCGAUUUAUUCCUACUUUUUUUUUUCUUUCUAAAAUAUCCCUCAUAUAUUCCACCCUUAUUGCAAAAUACCCCUGCAGUUAUCUCCUGUUAAGUUAAUUUAGGUUAAACGUGAGUUAAACAUCUACCACAGUUUAAAAAAAAAUAAAAUGCCAAUUUUGCUCUUAACUUAAGGGCAAAUAAAAAAUAUUGAUGACGGUAGAAGGGUAUAUUGGAAAAGACCAAAAGUCAAAAUACUUUUUAUGUCCCUGGCUUUAAGGGUAAAUAAGAAAGUCAGUGAUGGUAGAAGGGUAUAAUUGAAAGGGCAAAAUAGUAAUUUUAGAGAGAUAACAGAGUUCAUUAACACAUUUUAAUUCUAAGGGUAUAUUAGAAAUAGGUUGGAUUGUAGAAAUGACAUUUUCAAUAUUAGCCUUCUAAGAGGGGUAAAUUGAAAAGUCGAAAAAUUUUCAGGGUAUAUAAGCAAUUGCCUCUUAAUUUUAUAUAACCCACAUGAGCUACACCGACCGUCCCUAGAGCAGGUGGCAAAGGGUUUGAUGGUUGGUACCCGAUACCCAAGUUUGAAUCUUAGUUGAUUCACAUUUCCAGCUAAGUUUAUUUUUAAAUGAAAUAAACAAAGCGGGUAGCGUGCUACCUAUCUCUAAAAAAAAAAAAAAAAAAAAAAAAAAAAAAAAAAAAAAAAAAAAGGGCCGCUUGAGCCACUUUCGGAAAUGAAGCACGCACCCCAUGCCUUUUCCAGAUAAAGAAAUAGAAGCAAAAAAGUUGUCAAGAAGGGCAUAAUUAAUUUGUGCAGGUUGCAUCUCAAUAUAUAUAUAUAUAUAUAUAUAUAUAUAUAUCAACCGCACCAGGAAAUUAACUGGAUUAGAUGUAAAUAUAAUUAGGGAAAAUUUCAUAGGUACCUAUAGGAGACUGAAAUUUCAUCAAUAAUCCUCUCUAAAAUUGAAAAUAUUAUGAAUGCCCUUCUAAAUUCAAAAAAUACUCAUGAAUGCCCCUACAGGUAAUGUGCCGUCAAAAUCUAACCGAACAAAUUAUAUAUGUCAUUUCUAUCCUUGUACGGUUUAUUAAAUAUAGGAAGUCGUAAUUGGUAUAUUAAUACUAUUCACAAAUGUCCUCUUAUUCUCUCCACAUAGCAACGAGCCCACUAAAUAGUUUAUAUUUUACAACACCUCAUAAUCCAACUUCUAAUUGUGAUUGUGGUAAACCGUGCCGAAUUUAAAUGUCAAAAUAACCACAUAGUAAAGGUCCGAUAUCCAAAUUUGAGAGUAAGUUGAUGUGAUGCUUUAGCGUGCAUAUAAUUAUGAAUUAAAUUUUAAAUAUUUAAUGCUAUAUAUUUUCUAUUGAUUGAGGAAUAAAGAUGGUACAACUACUUUGCUUGGGUAGAUAAUUUUUCAACACAGCACAAUUAACUUUAAGUAUCAAAUACAAAUGCUAAAAAAUAGUAUAGGUUGAAGAAUUACGAAGUUGGAGAAGAAAAUCCUACUGUGUACUUUAUAUACUAGUUGCUAAAAUUUUUUAGCUUAGCAUUAAUUAGUUAUUUCCUGCCAAAUAUAUCAUUCUAACUUUUGGGGAGAAGUUUGUCAUUUUAUAUUUUAACUCUCAUUUAACUACAUUUUAACCCGGGUAGAGUGACGUGUCCUUAACGGUAAGGGUACACUACUACAGAUACAAGAUUUAGUGGCGACAAAUGUCGCCACCAUAGCCAAUAUUGUCGCCACGGAAAACGUUUUGGCGGCGACAAUCUGUCGCCGCAUGCCGCCGCCUAAAACCCCGUCGGUAAAACAAUUUGGUGGCGACAAUGUGUCGCCGCUAAAAGUUAGAUAAUUAGCGGCGACAUACNCGAAGACCCUUUUUCAGGGUAUCAUAUGCCUAUUUAUAGAACCGCCUUUGCGUCAGUUAUUGCUCUUGCACGAUCAGCCACUACCUCCUGAUUCGUAGGACCACCUUCGGCCGAUCGGAACCGCUCGUAACUGCUUGCGGUUGUUAUAACUCCUCGGUCCAGUGCGGCUCGUAUGCGUCCGGUGUACUCUAGGUCUACCGUUUUAGCCGUCUUUCGAAUAUGGACCCGGCGUGCCAGCUGUUCGCACCUAACUGGCUCAACAAUUGCCCCCUCGCCAGUUUUCGAAGCGAUGCUUCGGUAGCUGGCGUUACCUUUUUCGUCGCAAACAAUUUUCUGUUGCCGAAAGCGGGCUUGAUCCGAGGUGUAUUUCUCAGUCUAAUCAAAUUCAAAUUCUCUGACGUAUUCUGCACUACGAUCUUCUGUACGGUUUAAUCUAAACCAUUUAUUCUCUUCUUCACGGCCCUAAUCGCAUUCUCUACUUUUGCCUCAUGUGCGGCAUUAAUUAACUCAUCUUAAUUGCCGCUGUCUAUUCAUCAUUACAGCUGACCUUGGGACUCGUAAUCGAAGCGACAGUUCGAUACGACGGCCUUUUCUUCUUCCUCAAGCUUCCCAUUCUUUUUGUCUCUUCUAAUUUUCUUUUCCUCAUAUCUUUCACUAGAACCUCUUCUUUGUCUCCUUCAUCCUUCUUCGCUUUUCGUAACCGAUUCUCUCGGCUCUUCUCUUCUAUUGAACAAUGUCUUUGGUUCCUCCUCUUCCUUCUCAUCCAUCUCUUGACUAUACUAUACUCAAACUUUUCGUCGAUUUAGAUCCAUCUAGAUUCAUACUAGGUCCUUCUCUUGUAGAUGCACCAUCUCCUACUGACUCCUGUUUCUCUGAUGAGGGACUUCCUUUGAAAAGGAUUAUUCAUCUCCAUUCUUGGUACUCAUCAGCUUCAACAGGAAAGAGUCUCAGAACCUGGCCAAGUAUUUCCGAAGCAUAUUUGGCCUGGUUAGAUAGAGUAGAAUCCGUUUUUGGCGCCUUCUGGCGGAAAAUCGGCAUUUAUGAAGCAAUUCAAUUAUCUCGGCACCCUUCUAUAGCCGAUAAUCUUCUUCUAGCCGCUGCUCUUUGUUUCUGAUCCCCUGUUUCUAAUAUUUUUCUUUUCAAAAGGGGGCCUCUUACCCUCACUCCUUUUGAUGUGGCAGCCAUUGUUGGCUUACGCCCUCAUGACAUUACUCUCUCUAUAGCCUACAAUCCUGACGGUGUGUCUGAUUUUGAGGCACACCUUGAUCUAAAUAAUUUGGCUUACUCUAAAUUUCUUUGAAAAUUUGCAGGUGAAUCCCCUGCCCCGGUCACCAGGAAGGAACACACAGCAUUCCUUCUAUACUGGUUAUGCGACAAUCUUUUCUGCACUCGUUCGCAGAAAAUUAACCGAGAUUUUGUUCCGAUCGCCGUUGGUUUAUCUAACGGCGAUAAAUUGGCCUUGGGGUCAUAUUUCCUUGCUUUCGUUUACAGAGAAGUUUUUGAUUCUAUUAAACCACUACCUUCCGGUGAUGGCAUUGCCAUCAGCUCUGGAUGUGGCGUUUUUUGGUUUCUGCAAAUGUUUCUUCAAUUCUAUAUUCCUGCUUUAUGCCAAUCCCCUUUCAAUCCGAUUUCAGCUACCCAAUUUGAUUCUUAUGGGCUAGCUCUCAGCUGUCCGCAGCCGAUGACCUCUGGUCAACCCUCUGAUUUUCUUACUUAUUUCAAGGCUUUUUACGAGCCAGCCUCUGAUUCGGCUAUUUCUUGGGCUCCAUUUAUUGAUCGUCUCACCGGCCCCUCUUGGUUUCUGGCUCGGUUUGAAACCAUUCAAGGCGAGCUAUCUUCUUCUCGCACCGGUGAACAUUCAGAUGUAUGGUAUUCGUAUCUAGCCCCUCGGGACCUUCAUGUGGGGCUUAAAUCACGUUCGAAACUACUACCGAGUACUGAGGUUUAUUCUCCUCAGUAUGUGGCACGGAAAUUUGCAUUUGUUCGGCCGAUCCCGGCCCCUUCUAAAUUUUUUACGGCCAACACAGCCGAUCAUCGUCCUUCCACCAAGAGCAUAUUUGAAGCUGACAAGCUUUCGGCUAUGGGGAAUCGUAUCAGACGCUUCUUCCAGCUAGCAAGCUUCCGUCCGAACUAUACAGGGGUAGCCCUCGCCGGCUAUGCUACCAUGUGGGAUCAAUUUACCGACCGCUCCUAUGAUCUUUCUCUGCCUCGAGCACUCCGUAAAACCAUCCAUCCAUUUGGUCAGUCAUCUAAUAUUUGUUUAUAAUUUCCUUCCAAUAUGGCUGUAACUUAUCUUUUAUUUUAUACACAGCCACCAUUUCGAGCAGAGAUUCUCCAACCGAGAUUGAGUCUCCACCAGACACUAUUUCUGAUGCCUCGCCUUCUUCCUCGGUAAAAUAUCAUUUCUCCACUCAUCUUAAUCAUAAUUUUUUCUUUGUUCAUCAUUUUUGUUUGUUUCUGUUUUCAGUCGAUUCCUGCUUCUCCAUCGGUCUCAGCUUCGAAAAAAAGACCGAUUGAAGUUGUUCAAGUCACUUCCCCGUCGUCUUCCAAACGGCGUAAGUCAGUGGUUAAAAGAAAAUUCCAACAAGCCGAAAGUACCCCUUCGGCUGAUACCACUAAAGACAGAGCCGAGGAUAUUCCUUCGGCUGACAUUCCAUCCAAAGAAGCUACUACACCCUCUUUGGCUACCUCUGUUCCAACCGAAAUGAUUGAUGUCGGGGUAAGCCAAAUUAAUUGGUUGUACGAAAAGAACAUUUCUUAAUUAUUUAUUACUUUCUUUUAAACUACAGUCUUCUCCUGAACGAGCCCCUUUUGCUCAUUAUUCGAAGAUGCAGAUGGAACGGCAGCUUCGCAGGGAAGCCCGUCUCGAGAAAAAGAGAGGGAUGGAAAAGAAGAAGAAAUCUGUUGAAACAGCGGGCACGACGCCGUUACCCAGUGAGGUUGCAUCACCUCUUUCUGCUCCUGCCCCGACAUCAACUACAGGGGAUGAACAGAUAAACAUACAUCUCGGGCGAACUUCCGAAGACACCAGCACUAUUCCUCCCCGCUCGCCCCAGGGAGCUGCUUCCCCUAUUGCUGAUGAUCCUUUAUCUGCGAUUCUUCAUUCUUUUUUGAUUUCAAGCCCCAGCUCCAAUGAAAGGGAUGAUUCUUCGACCAUUACCAUUUCAUCAGACACCCAGAAUAAGUUCGAUGAAUGCCUUAAAAUGUAUAGCAUUGGUAUUCCUGGUCUAGCUCAGAAUCCAGAACAAUUUAAUCGGCUAUAUGCCUUUUUACUUGAUUUGGCCGAUCAAUCAGAUAUUACUCCCGGCGUAAAAUAUUUUGUAGCAACCUUAUCACUUCAACUUUCAUCUUUUUUGGCUCGGCAGCGAUCUUUGGGCACCGAACUUGUAGCUUUAGAUCAACAUUUUCAUCGUGUUGAUCAUUUUAAAAAGAAUAUCCCUAAUAUAGCAGCUCCGCCUACUGAAGUGCAUCAAGAGGAUAAGGAAUUGGCUGAUCAAGAAUCGGCUCUACAACAACGGAUUUCUACUCUUAAAGAAGAGUUAGCCGCAGCCGAAUCUACUCUCGCAUAAACCUCUGAGCGCCGACUUCAACUAAAAGAUCUACUGAAGUCCAGAAAGGAAGAAGGGAUAAGGCUUAAAGAGGAGCUUUCUCAACUUUACAAAGUCCAUCAUUUGAUGAAGCACCGAAGGAAAGCUGCUGAGACCGCCCAAGCCAAUCUCAUAGCCAAAUGGAAUCAACUCAAAGGCUUAUUGUCCUGAUUCGGCUUGUAAUUUUCUAACUCUGAUUUUAAUUAUUCUCCCACAUGGAUGGGUAAUAUCUCUUUAAAUAUUUUUCGUUGAUUGAUUUUUCAUUUUCUGACCCAUCUUUGCUUUGUAAAUAAUAUGCGUUUCCUCUUGUGAUUCGGCUAAUCUGAAAUGGUCCUUCCCAAUUUGGGGACCAUUUUUCAUACAUUCGAUCUUUUUGACCGAUUGGAAAAAUCAGCCGAAGUACUAAAUCACCGACGACAAAUGUCUUUGAUCGAACUUUCUUAUUGUAUGCGCUACGCACUCGGCUUUGGUANGAGGGAAGUCUUGGCGCGCUUCAUAAGGAUAUAUAGCGGCGACACAUUGUCGCCGCUAUAUUUUCCGUUUUAGUGGCGACACCUAUAUGUCGCCACCAUUUUCUAUGUAAUGGCGGCGACUGAUAAAUAUCGCCACCAUUUUUUAUGUAUUGGCGGCGACAAAUAAUUGUCGCCACCAUUUUUUAUGCAAUGGCGGCGACAAAUAAAUGUCGCCACCAUUUUCUAUGCAAUGGCGGCGACAAAUAAUUGUCGUCGCCAUUUUCUAUGUAUUGGCGGCGACAAUGCCUAUCGCCACAAAAAAGUCGCCACUAAAACCUACUUUUGUUGUAGUGGUAGUUAUGAUAAUUUUAUUUUUUUGAAGAGGUAUUUAUGAUAUUUUAAAGUUUAGAGGAGUAUUCACGAAAUUUACAAGUUUGAUAAUAUUACUGAUGAAAUUGCCCUUUUCUUUAUAACAAUAAUUGCAUAUAAUUUAGGAUAAACUUCAAAUACCAAUAUCCUGUAGUUUCGCACUUUUUCACUUUUUUAUUAUGUAGUUUAAAAAGGAUCACUUUAGUACCCUAUGGUUUUACUUUUCUUCUUUCGUCAGCACUUUCAUUAACUCUCCAUUAAAUUAUAUACAAAAAACUUCAGAUAUCCCACCUACGGUUUAUUGAAUAGUCACUUUAUUAUCCUGUGAUUUACUAAAUUUAAUAGGAAAAUUAAUGAAGGGAUAACGGAAAGAAAAAUUUAUUAAAUUUAUUAAAAUUAAUAAUGAAAUGAAUAUAAAAACUCAAAUAAAAAAAUAGAGGUUAAAGGGGUGUCAACAAAAAAAAUUUAAAGCUGAUGAGCCUAUAUCAAAAUCGUUUAUAAUUGAGGGGGUCUCCAUACAAUUUACCUAUUGAAAUUAAAUAAUUUUAGUUAUUUUAUCUGAAAAAUUGUGUUAAAUUUAAUAAAUUUCCCUUUUUUUUACACUACAUCUCUUAAUUUUUUAAAAUUAAAAGUCAAGGAGUCUUAAUAAAAAAAUUGCAUAGUUAAAUAAAUUAUUUCAAAAUAGCAUAUAGUUGAGGGAUCUCCGUACAUUUCUCAAGCAGUAUCAAGUAAUUAGGGGUAAAUUCGCCAUUUCAUUACUUAACCCCUUAUAAAUUAGGGUAAAAUGACGGUAUUUUAACCGUAGGAGUAUUUAUGAUAAUUUUUUAUGUUUUAAGGGAUAUGUAUGAUGUUUUAAUUUUUGUAGAAGUAUCUACGAAAGUUAUAAAUUUUAGAAGGGUACCAGUGAAAUUGCCCCAUAUAGUUAUUUCAUCUUGUACAAUUGUAUGGCAUAAUCGAGUGUAGGUUUCUAUGUGUACAAGUUGAAACAUUGAGAUCCAGUUUGAUACAUAAAAAAAAAAAAAAAAAAAAGAAAAAAAAAAGAGGAUGUCAAAUAAAUAAAAAAAAGAUUAAAAUAUAUAGACAUUCCUCACACUUUAACCCAUUUUGUAAAUUAUCUCCUAAUUUGUUUUAUUUGAUUUGUACCCGUUCUACUUAGUAAUUAUUUAAUUUAUACUCGAUCUUCUUACUAACUAUUUGAUAUACCUCAUUUAAGAAAUUUUGGAGAUUUUAUAAGCAUCAAAAUAUGUGCCCAUGUGAGAUAUACGCGUGAUCAAGAAUCAUUUUAAUUAGUCAAAAAUUAGAUCACAUUGAUAUCUCAGUGAAUAUUUAAUUCUAACAAAAUUUUCAAGAUCACUAAUGAAAUGAAGUUCAGAAGGUAGAAAUAAAAUUUAAUAAAAAAAGUUCAGAAGGUAAAUUUCAAAACAUCAGGAAAUAUCUGUACAUGUCAACCAAAAAGAAACUUUGCAAAACUUCAAGUAAAUAAAGGGUUAAAAAAGGGUAUACAAAUUAGAUUACGUAUGCAAAUGUAGAAAAGAUAUGGUGAAGUGAAACACCAUCAUCCACCGUCACAUAGAUAGGUUUUUCUUUCUCCAAAAUUAAGUACCAAAAUAUCCCAACCAAUGAGCUACACUUUCUUGGCCACUUUCCUUUGCAACAACAUAAAUAUCACGCACCCAUCGUAAUUAUAAGUUAGCAUCCAUUUGGCACGCAAUAUCCCAGAAAAAUAAAAAUAAUAUAUAAUAACAUAUUGUCAAUCUCAUUAAACUACGCUUGAUGGUGAUUUUAUCCGCAAACUUUAAUUUAUCCCCCGAAGAAUUAAUAUUCGGCACUAAUAAUCUCUGACAUUAACACCAUGGAUGCGGAUUCAUAAAAAUAUAAAAAAUAAAAAAUAAAAAAUAAAAAAUGGAUGGUGGCCUGACGCCACCCAAUAAUUAAUUUAGAGAGCCACCCAAUAAUUAAUUUAGAGAGCGGACCACUGUAAGCGACGACAAAAAAACUAGCUAAUCUUGGGUGCAGUCACCACUCAUUAUCCCAAAAAUUGAUCAUAUAUAUAUAUAUAAUUGAGCUCCUAUACUUUUGAAAGUACCAAGACAUUGGUGCUUGUAAGUUUUUAGCCUUUAGAUUAAAAAAUAUGUGGUUAGGAUGAUGUGGAUCCCCUAGGGUUGAGUGGGUGGUUGGUUGAAUAAUAUAAUCUAACGGGUGUAAAUGAUCAACAGUGCUGAUCUAACGGUUAAAAACCUAUAAGCACAAAGUGAUUGGUGCUUGUAAAGCUUUUACAAGCACCAUAGCCGAACUCUAUAUAUAUAUAUAUAUAUAUAUAUAUAUAUAUAUAUAUAUAUAUAUAUAUAUAUACACAUGCUAAGGUUCAAAUUACACACUUCUAAGUUUUAUACUUCUUAUAUUAAUUAAAGGCUAAAUUACAUAAAAUCUUUCUGUCAAAAUUCGAUUUUUUACUUUCCCCCAUGUCAUUUAAAACCUACAGUUUGUUCUCUUGUAAAAUAAAAAAUGUUCACAAGGAGGUACAGUAAGAAAUGUGAUGACAAAAUAAUCAAUUUGCCUCUCACCAUUUUCAUCUCCUCCCUCAUCUUGCUCAUCCGCCGCCUCGAUCGGCCACGGUUCGCGCCUCAAUUGGCAAGGAUUCCUCUCCAUUUUCUUCUCCACCUUCUCCCUUUCUCCUCCUGCACCCUCGGCGCCUCUCCAUUUUGAUGACAGUAGUGAGGAAAUCGAAAUAAGCGUGGAUGAAAAGGUAGGCAAAGGUAACAAGGAUGAAGGCAAGACGGCGGAGAAGGGCGAGAGGGUGUUUGUGGGCGCGGACGGAGACGUGGGCGAGGGCGAGGCAGUGAAGGAGGGCUAGGCGGCGAGGCGGAUGAGGGCGAAACACAGUAGAGGGCGGAGGGUAUUUUUGGCAUAAAAAAUAUUUUAUAACGGAACCCUAAUGGUCACUGACGGUAGGGGGUGAAGUGAACGUUUUUUAUUUUACAAGGGGCAAAGUAUAGGUUUUUAAAUAACAUGGAGGGAAAGUGAAAAAUCGGAUUUUGACGGAUGGGUUUUCUGUAAUUUAGCCUAAAUUAAAAUCUAAUGUUUUAGAAUAAAGAUCUAAAUGUUGAAAUUAUUGUACAAUGUAAAAAGGUCGUACAAGCCAAAUUUUAUAAUUUCUAAAAUAUUAUAUCUCGGGUUUUCAAUAUGGCCAAUUUGCAUAAACAAUUUAUUAGUUUUCAGCUUUUGCAAAAGUAUGCCGUCUUUUAAAAUUUUGUAGAUUCGAGACGGAUUUUUAGAAAACUGACCAAAAUAACUUUAUUUUCUUUUCUCUCUCUUUUUUUCUUUCCUUUUUUAUUUUCUUUCACUCCGAAGAGGGAGGCAGAGGCACAGGCGGAGGCGGAGGUGGAGGCGGNCGUGUCAUCACCCUCACCCUCACCCAUGCCCGCGUACCCUCCCUCCGCCUUCCUCGCCUCCGACCCUGCUGAGGCCGCACCUCGACCCUCUUUUUCUUUUCUCUCCAACCCUCUUCCACCGCCUCCCCGGCUCUUUACAACAGUAAAUAGGGCAGCGUCACGUCCUUUUCCUCUCUUUUUUUUUCUUUCAUUUUUUUCCUCCUCUACCACCUCCGUGACCCUCCACGACAGUAACGAGAACAGCGCUGCAUCCUCUUUCUCUGCCUUUGCCAACGCAGUUAUCGACGCCGGUGCCGGAGAAGGAGGACUCGGAGCAAGUGCGGGUGAAAGUGGAGCCGAGAAAAAAAUACAGAAAACAAAAAUAAUAAAAACUCAAGUAUACAUAAAGCGCCCACUGUACAUACAAUAUCCAAAGCACAACCUCGAUCCAGAGAGUACAACAAAACACAACUGCAUGUACAUGGUAACGUCCCAAAACUACCUCUGAAGGGGGUACUCCUCUAGCCCAGUGACCAAGGAAGGUAGGGAUUUAGCUCGCGACUCACUUACCACAGUCAGAAUCAAUAACAGCAGCAAUAACAGACAAAAACUCUGCAAAAAUAUGGCAACAACAGGGUAUGAGAACUACUGCAAAAUAGAGUAGCCCUCAAUGGGUACCGUCACCGAUCUUAACGGCCUACCCACUAAGUCUACAGUACAAGCAUGCAAAGGAUAGUAAAAUAAGCUGAAAAACUCUACAGUUAUAUGCCACUAGACUACUGCUAUCCAAACCAUAUUCUCUGUAGACCUAGAAAUGCAUCACUAGCUACAACUCUAUCACACUAACCUAAUCUCAACGGACUGCCAACUGGUCAGUCCAGUUUGUACCCAAGCUACACCGCACACCACCCACGGGGGUGGCCGGUCCAAGAAGAUUGUCCAAAUAGGACUGCUAUGACAUCAACGCAAGUAAAGCCUCACUUCGGAGAAACACUCGUGGGAGCGACCCAACCGAGUAUGCAAGCGUGUCUCUGUCGAGCUCAAUCAGGCUCACAUAGACUAUAAUCAGCACAAGUGGGUCAAAUUAGUCUAACAACCAAGGCUCACGUGCCAUCGGCACAAUCUGAUACAAGAUAGAGGAAUCUGGGUCCACCGUUAGCCCCGACGGCACCCGACAGUACGGAACAGACCAACUCUACUGUAACCACGGGCUCAGCCCCUCAGCACCAGCGUAAUCUCAACCUACACUAAUUUAAAUAUCCACAGCACACUAACAACGGUGAUACAAAAAAAAAAAUAGCUCCUGAAGCUAAUUCUGUUAACUUUUUCAAAAAAUGUCAAGUGUGGGUUUACCGAGUUUUCUCCUAAGUCAAAUUCCAGUUCAGCAUAUAAGAUUUAUCUAACAUCAGUACAUUAUGCUCCAAAUUCAGAUUUCAUAUAAAACAUGCAAAUUCAUGAAUUCGAGCUACUAAACGUGAUGUUCAAAACAAAAAAUGCAUGCUGACAACUCUACGACUUAGGAGAAAUGCAUACUGACAACUCUACGACUUAGGAGAAAUUCCGACGAUUUUGGUAAACAUUAACCCACCUCAAACGCUCGUCCAACAUCGGCUACAAAUCGAUAGGAGAAAUCCCGCGCUCGUUCGACCUCCAACGGCUCAACCGGGUGCACGAGCAACCUCCAAAGACCAGAUGAAAAGAAACUGAGAUCAAUUCUCAAGUUGCUAGAGAGAGAGGAAGAGGAUAAGCUUUAUCCGUUCUCUAAGCUCCAGCCCAUAUAUACAAGCUUGGGUCAGUUGGGAUUUAUCAACAGCGAAAUGACCAAAAGAACCCUUACCAACUCAAACCACCGCCUAGAGUACCAGUUCUCAAUUUGGGUACCGGUACCCGACACUCAUCCAGCAAACACGAGCGUGGUGUACCGGUACUGGUCCGAUGCAGUACCGGUACCCAGUCUCAGUCCGGUUGUUAUGGAUUUUAAGUUGGCAUAUUUCGUGAACUAAAUCGGAGUCUUGAAGGUUAAAAGAAGAAGAGACGAAGAUUGAAGACUCGAAGACUCAAAACAUGAAUCCAUAAUGCUCGGUAAGUUUAAGUACUGUUGAUGAUGAUUUAUAAAUAUUUACAAAUAUUUGGAAGACAUUAGAAUAGGUAUAAAUUGAUAAAAAUUCAAUUCUGAGUUUUCCAAGUUUCAGGAUCCAGACCCUAAAAGAAAGGUCCGAAUCCCGUAAGCCUCCCUGGCUGAUACGGAGCGAGGGUCCGGACCAUGGCUCCAGAGUCCGGAUCCCGUACAUCGGUUUUGCUGAUACGCAAGGAGGAUCCAGACCUUGGGAUCAAGAUCCGGACCUUCAAGAUCCGAAUCCUACUAGAAGGUUUGGACCCUGAACCCGACGUCAGUUUUCCAAAUAUAGUUUUAAGGUUUCCAAAUAUGGCUUUUCAAUCCUAAUCUAUUUUCUAAUGAUUUCCAAAUAUGGUUUUUCAAUCCUAAUCUAUUUUUAAUAUCAUCUAAACCUAUAAAUAAGAUAUGGGGGUAUUUUUAAAAGGUAGCUAAGCAUAGAAUAUCUUUUUGAAGCCCUAGAAACUUAUUGGGUGCUCUCUUUCUUAUCUCCAACAACAAGUUUAUAUUGGAUCAAUUCUCGAAACCCUAAUUUCUCGUUCUUCAUGAAGAAUUGAUCUGGCUAUUGCUUAGAAACAUCUUCUACGAUUAUUUCCUGAUCAUCUAAGCAAUAAAUCAUCGCCAACCGUAUUAUUCUUACUCCGGACGGAGUGCGCUCGUGGAUUCGAGUGGGCGUCGUGGAUUCGGUGUGAUCAAGGCUUCGUGGAUUCGAAGUGUGGACAUCUCAUGGAUUCGGGACGUGGCUUUCGUGGAGUCGGACGUGGGGCGUAGACAACCCGGCGGCGUGCGCGAGAUCUGAAGAAGAUAAAAGAGAGGUUGAGUCCGUGGAUUCAGUAAUCACCUUGUAAUCUUUUAUUUCUUAGUGGAUUGUUAUCGCGUGUUGGUCCCGUGGGUUUUUCUCCAAAUUGGAGUUUUUCCACGUAAAUCUCAGUGUGGUUGUACUUUCCACAUUUAUUUUUAUCGCAUUGAGAUUUGCGUUUUUGGUCUAUCACCUAUUCAGCCCCCUCUAGGUGUUUGAUAGUAUUUAGAUAGAUCCUAGAUUUUCAUAUCUUACAGUUGGUAUCAGAGCGGGAUCUAGAUUUUUCUAUUAAUAUGGGUGAAGGUGGUAGUAUUAAUAGGGCUCCUCUUUUUUAUGGGAUCAAUUAUUAUUUUUCAAAGAACGUUGGAUGAUUGCUACAUAAAUAGUGCUUUGAACAUCAAUAGGUUCACUUUCAUUCACUCCUAGUUAAUUUCGUACUAAUUAUCGGUUUUACUUUAUUUUCAUUAUUUAUGAAGUUAAUUUAUUAUAGGAUAUUUUAAUUCUUAUAUUCAUCAAAUUUGAGUAAUCAUGUAUAAUCUUUAGACACUUAACCUAUCUCGGUUGUGUGUGUUGAAUUUGAUGAAUGAAAAUUUGCUAAUAGACUAAAACUUAUCAAAUUUUCUUUCAAAUAAGAGAUUGCAUAAUUAAGGGAGAGUUAUAUAUAAAUAAAAAGAGAAACACUCCAAGUGCCUAAAAGAUGUGGAAAGAGUUACAUCCAAAGGAGUGUGAAAACUACCACCACAUGUAGGAAAGAGCUACCACCCCGAUCCUCCGGUCAGUGUGUGAAGCUACCACAUGAAAUUUUAGUGUAUAACUGAAAAGGUUGAAAAAGUGUUCAUAUUAUAUAAAAAUUUUCGGUGUAAUAAGGUGGUUUAGUAAAAGAUGCUCAAAGAGGCACCCCCCGGUACAUUAUUGCUUGGUCUUGAAUUUGAACGUUUAUGCGACAAUUUCUAUCAUUUAAUGAAUCUUCAUAAGUCAUCUUUAUAAUCCGUUACAUCUUGAUAGAUUUUGAGUAUUCAGAUUAUUUUUUGAUGACUUGAUUUUGAAAUAUAUAUGGAUAAAGAAAUUUUAUUAUAUUUUAUCUACAUCUUGGUGAUUUUUUAGUGAAAUUCUUAAUUUCUAUGAAAUUGAUGUGGAUUGAAAAAAGUCUAUGUGAAUUCAUUCUGUUCAUGUACUAACAUUAUUGUUUUCACAAUGGAAUCAUCAUAUUCUAAACUCUCUCUAUUUUGGUACUUUUUCUUUUGGCAAUUUUUGACAAAAAGGGGGAGAGAGAUGAGAUUUUGAAGAGAAAAGAAGAGAGAAAUUAAAAUUGAUUAAUUUAAUAUUUAGACGCAUGAACAAAAGGGGAGAGAUUUUCAUAUUUUUACUACUAACUUUGUUUGUAGAGAAAGUAAUCUUUUUGUAGAUCAUUGAAAACUUCAAGACUCCUUGUGACUAAGUCAUAGAGUUUGUUUAGGAGUUGCACAAUUGUAGUUUUGUGCUUUCUUUGGAUCUUUCACGCGAGAAGUUCAUUGUUUUAGUGAUGGCAAUUAAUUUCAAUUUUAAUUUUUGGAGAGUUGAGCGUUCUGAGUAUUUUAAUAUAAUUUUGAGUUUUGUCACGAAAUUGCCAAAGAGGGUGAUUAUUACGGAUUUUAAGUUGGCAUAUUUCAUGAAGUAAGUCAGAGUCUUGAAGAUUUAAAGAAGAAGAGGCGAAGAUUGAAGACUCGAAGACUCAAAACAUGAAUUCACAAUACUCGGUAAGUUUAAGUACUGUUGAUGAUGAUUUAUGAACAUUUACAAGUGUUUGGACGACAUUAGAAUAGGUAUAAAUUGAUAAAAAUUCAAUUCUGAGUUUUCCAAGUUUUAGGAUUCGGACCCUAAAAGAAAGGUCCGGAUCCCGUAAGCCUCCUUGGCUGAUAUGGAGUGAGGGUCCGGACCUUGGCUCCAGAGUCUGGAUCCCAUACGUCGAUUUUGCUAUUACGCAAGGAGGAUCCGAACCUUGGGAUCAAGAUCCGGACGCUACUGGAAGGUCCGGACCCUAAACCCGGCGUGAGUUUUCCAAAUAUGGUUUUAAGGUUUCCAAAUAUGGUUUUUUAAUCCUAAUCUAUUUUCUAAUGAUUUCCAAAUAUUGUUUUCAAUCCUAAUCUAUUUCUAAUGUCUUCUAAACGUAUAAAUAAGAAGUGGGGGUGUUUCUAAAAGAUGGCUAAGUAUAGAAUAUCUUUUUGAAGCCUUAGAAACUUGUUAGGUGCUCUCUUUCUUAUCUCCAACAACAAGUUUAUAUCGGAUCAAUUCUUAAAACCCUAAUUUCUUAUUCUUCAUGAAGAAUUGAUCCGACUAUUGCUUAGAAACAUCUUCUACGGUUCUUUCAUGAUCAUCUAAGCAAUAAAUCAUCGCCAACCGUAUUGUUCUUGCUCCGGACGGAGUGCGCUCGUGGAUUCGAGUGGGCAUCGUGGAUUCGGCGUGAUCAAAGCUUCGUGGAUUUGAAGUGUGGACGUCUCGUGGAUUCGGGACGUGGCGUUCGUGCAGUCGGAUGUGGGGCGUGGACAACCCGGCGGCGUGCGCGAGAUCCGAAGAAGAUAAAAGAGAGGUUUGAGUCCGUGGAUUCGGUAAUCACCUAAUAAUCUUUUAUUUCUUAGUGGAUUGUUAUCACGUGUUGGUCCCAUGGGUUUUCCUCCAAAUUGGAGUUUUUUCACGUAAAUCUCGAUGUGGUUUUUUCUUUCUGCAUUUAUUUUUAUCACAUUGAGAUUUGUAUUUUUGGUCCAUUCACCUAUUCACCCCCCUCUAGGUGUUUGAUAGUAUCUAGAUAGAUCCUAGGUUUUCAUAUCUUACACCGGUACUCACCAACAGGUACCGAUGCACAACACCAAGCUGCACGAACCCGAGAGUACCCAUUCAUGUAAUCCCUUUGGGGUACCGGUACUCCUCUCAGGUACCGGUAUACAACACUCAAAAUCCUGCUUUUACAGAUUUCAGUAUCCAAACUCCAAAUCUCACAGCUCCUUUUCGCGCCUAUUUCGUGCCAAAACAACUCCGACUCGUCCCAACACUCUACAGAUGUGUCGACAAGCUACUUAUGCUGUAGUCAGUCAAACAGCUAUGCCCCAGAGACACUACAAAAAGACAGCCUAUUUUUGCAAAAGCUCAAAACUAAUAGAUUUUUUAUGCAAAUUGGCUUUUCAAUAUUGUACUUUAUUGAAAGUUUUGGAUAAUCAAUAUUAACAUUACUUGAUGCGUAGAAAAUUAAUUUUUAAAACUUAUAAAACGAUAUAGGUAUGCAUUUUAAAUAUUCUUCAUCAUAUUUAAUAGUUUAGAUCUUGUUGCGUGCUGAAUGUCCCGACCUUGACCCGGUCAAUAAUUCUCCUCGGGAAGAUCGUCGGGAUGCGAGACGGCUGCGGAUUAUGACCCUCGAAGUAUGCGCCCACAGAGGAUCAAACGAUUAGGCCGAUGAGGGAUCGAAUCAGCCGGGUUCGAAAACCUCCGCAGUAAAUUCGCUUCGGCAGGAUUAGCCGAAUGGAGAGGGGAAGCCCAGAACUCGACUAAGAAACGAGCCGAAUAGCCAAACAACUUGUGAUCUGAUCGGCAAGAAGAGCCGAAGAUGACUUUCUAUUGAAUAGCAAAAGGAAAAAGUACACAAACAGGGGAGUGAUGCCCGUAGGGCAGACAGACUCCAAGUAUGGGAACAGGGGAGUGAUGCCCGUAGGGCAGACAGACUCCGAGUAUGGAAAAUUACAGAAACUACUCCUAAGGAAAGCAGUAAAUGCAAGAAUAGAAAGAUGCAGAAAAAUAAAGGUGGUCUUUGUAAGAUAUGGAUCCCGAGGAUCUAAAAGGUAAGUAACACCUAGAGGGGGGUGAAUAGGUGUAACAACGGCAAACUCAAAAAAUCUCGAUGCGAAUAAAACAAAAUAGCCGANAUCGCAGGCACUUGUAGGCCUGCUAUCGGCUGUUCAUUUCGAGCUAACAAUUGCCCUAUUCGGGCUAUGUUCUCGUUAGAGGCUGUGAUUGCGGCCAAAACGGCAUCCAGCCGUGCGGUACUUGCGUGACUAUUCUGUCCAAAGUUUGUAGGACCCGAGUCAUUUGACCAAGCGCUUAGGUCAAACUAGGCUCCUGUUGGCCAGACUGACCACUAGUCUCACCCUCAGCAGGUAAAACCGCUUGGCGCUCUACGUUAUUCUCCGAAUUACUGGGCUAUUCACUCCCAGAAUUUCUGGGAAUAGCCCGAUUACGGAAAUUCAUGGCGUUAUCGUUAGCCAUGUUUUAAAUAAAAUGCAAAUUUACCUCAAAAGAUAGUCCCAUCGGGCGUGCCAAAAAAUUGUUGCGUGCCGAAUGUCCCGACCCUUAACCUGGUCAAUAAUUCUCCUUGGGAAGAUCGUCGGGAUGCGAGACGGCUGCAGAUUAUGACCCUCGAAGUAUGCCCCCACAAAGGAUCAAGCGAUUAGGCCGAUGAGGGAUCGAAUCAGCCGGGUUCGAAAACCUACACAGUAAAUUCGCUUCGGCAAGAUGAGCCGAAUGGAGAGGGGAAGCCCAGAACUCGACUAAGAAAUGAGCCCAAUGGCCAAACAACUUGUGAUCUGAUCGGCAGGAAGAGCCGAAGAUGACUUUCUAUUGAAUAGCAAAAGAAAAAAGUACACAAAUAGGGGAGUGAUGCCCGUAGGGCAGACAGACUCCAAGUAUGGAAACAGAAGAGUGAUGCCCAUAGGGCAGACAGACUUCGAGUAUGGAAAAUUACAGGAACUACUCCUAAGGAAAGCAGUAAAUGCGAGAAUAGAAAGAUGCAGAAAAAUAAAGGUGGUCUUUUGUGCGCAGGGGCGAAGACCCUUUUUCAGGGUAUCGUAUGCCUAUUUAUAGAACCGCCUUUGCGUCAGUUAUUGCUCUUGCACGAUCAGCCACUACCUCCUGAUUCGUAAGACCACCUUCGGCCGAUCGGAACCGCUCGUAACUGCUUGCGGUUGUUAUAACUCUUCGGCCCAGUGUGGCUCGUAUACGUCCGGUGUACUCUAGGUCUACCGUUUUAGCCGUCUUACGAAUAUGGACCCGGCGUGCCAGCUGUUCGCGCCUAACUGGCUCAACAGAUCUUAAUUUUUGACCUUCUAGAUUUAGAUUCAUAUUUGUGUAAAAAUUUAUUUAACUUACACAUAUACAAUUGGAUCCCUACACACACACGCACGCACGCACGCACGCACGCGCACGCACACACACACACGCAAUAGUGAGAUUAUUAUGCUUUUAUAAGCACAUAUACCUCUAUGCUUCCACUUUGUUUUCGAUGAUAUAACAUCUAAAUCGAUGAUAUGCUUUAUUAAACUUGGUCAACAUUAUUUGAAGUAUCUAGCAGCCAAAUUUUAUAAUUUUUUGGACAUUAUUUAUCUUCCUAUUGAGUGGUUCAAAUAUAAAUGGAUUUAUUAAAGGCAAUGAUAGAGGACUUGAUUGCUAGUAUAUAUUGAUAGAUAAAUUUGCGACCAUAUUAUUCGUCGCAAAAUAUUUGUUGAAUUAAUUACUUGUUAUUGAAAUUGCGACAAAUUAUUUUCGUCGCUAUACUAUCAUAAAAUAAUAAAAUAAAAUUAUUAAAAAAAUAACGACUUUUUGCGACGACUAGAUGUUGUUGCAAUUAGAUUAUAUUUAGCAACGAAAAAUAUUAUCCAGAUGUAUAUUUAGCAACAAAUUACGGGGUCACUAGCGACCAGUUAUUUUGUCGCUAUUACUGCAUUUAUAGUGACAAAUCUUUGUUCGUCGCUAAAUGUAACAACUAAUAGCGACCAACUGCUUUACUUCAUCGCUAAAUAGUUUUAGCGACGGGGCGGUAGCGACGAAGCAGCGACAGAGCUAUUUUUGUCGCUAAUUAGCAAUAGCGACAAAAUUUCAUUAUAUAGCGACAAAUAAUGUUGGUCGCAAAGGACCUAAAUUUUUGUAGUGUACCUCGUAUCGACUACUAAAAUAAUUAAUUUUUGAGACAUUUCGAUCACUAGGUAAAUGAAUUAAAAAUUAUAAAAUUUAAUUUAAAUAUUUCAAAUAGUGUAGAUUAAGUCUAAAAAUGACGAUCUUUGAUUUUGAUGUCACAUCAUCGAAAAUAAAGUGAAAGUGCAAAUGGCUCCGUACUUCUAAAAGUAUAACAGCCUCACUUCAUACUAUAUAUAUAGAAUUCAACUACUAUCCUUUUAAAAGGACGAAAGCGUUCAUCAUAUCAAGUUGUUUUUAAUGAUAAAGAGUCCGAAUCGAUGAUCAGAACCAUUAAAGUUUAGAAUAUUUGAAAUAUUUAGAAACAAAUGUCAAAAUUUUUAAAAAUUAUUACGUAGUGAUCAAGGAUCACAAAAUUGAUAACUUUUGACGGCAUAUAUUAGCCAUGCUUAUUUAACGGUGUAGAGUGAUCCAAACCACUUGAAUUUUUUAUAACAAAAAUCUUUAUAAUAUUUAGAUAAUAUUUGAUAACUCUGAUUAUGAAUUGAAAAUAUCUAACAUUUAUUUUCACAAGAUUAUUCAGUUUUUACCCUUUUUUGGAUGUUCGAUGGACUUGGUAAUGUUUUUUAAAAAAUACAAAAUUUGGUUUCUAAAUAUAAUUAAUAGUGUAGAUCAAUUUCAACGAUACUGAUUAUCAAUUUGGAGUCACGAUCGUCUAAAAUAAUUUAAUAGGACAAAGGUCUCUAUCGACUUGAAGUUUCCGAUCAUCGAUCCAUAUCAUUAAAUAUGACCUAAAACAUUUAAAGUAUCUAGAAAUUAAACUUUAUAAUUUUUUGAAUUUAUAAUAAAAUCCAUCAAGUGGAUAUAAAAUGAACAGUCGAAAUAAAACAAUCUCCUAAAAAUAGGGGAUGCAAUUUUUAAAUUCAAUAUCUAAGUAAUUGAUCUUGAUCUAUAGAGUGUAUAUAUAGAAGUUUCCAUUAAAAAUUCAAUCGAUUCCUAUUCUUUUACACCGUUAACUUGGAAACAGUCUAUACUCGCUAUUAAAAAUGUAAAUUUUUAGGCCCUUUCAUCGUAAAAUAUAUGAUGUUACAAAAAUUAUAAAAUUUAAUUUUUAAGAUUUUUAAAUACUUUAAAUUUUAUUUAACGGUAUGUAUCGUUGAUUCGAAACUCUAUCAUCGAAAAAGACUCAUUAGUACGAAAAUGAUUGUACUCAUAAUAAUAUAGUAGUCUAACUAUAUAUAUAUAUAGAGAGAGAGAGAGAGGGCUGGUAUGCUUCUGGAAGCAUGGAGACCUCCAUGCUUCCAAGUUGUUUUCGAUGUUUGGACUUUUGAAUCGAUGAUCGGCUCCAUUAAAGUUGAUCUAGAGUAUUUGAAGUACCUAGAAAAUAAAUUUUGUGAUUUUUCGAUAUCAUUUGCUUAGUGAUCGAAGGGGCUCAAAAUCAAUAAUUUUAAUGGCCGUGGUGAGCCGUUUGCAAGUUUAACGGUAUAGAAAUAUCCAAAUCACAUGAAAUUUUGAUAAAAAAUUCUUUAUACCAUAUAAAACAAGAUCAAUAACUUUGAUCUAAAAUUUUAAUGUCAUAUCAUCAUAUUUUGUAAGAUUUUUAUUUUCAGCCGUUGAUUUUGAGCCACUUCGAUCACUAGGCAAAUGAUAUCGAAAAAUCGCAAAAUUUAUUUUCUAGAUACUUCAAAUACUCUAGAUCAAGUCUAACGGAGCCGAUCGUCGAUUCGAAAGUCCGAACAUCGAAAACAACUUGGAAGCACGGAGCGCUCCGUGCUUCCAGAAGCAUACCAGACACACACUCUCUAUAUAUAUAUAUAUAUAGAGAGAGAGAGAGAGAGAGAGAGAGAGAGAGAGAUAGCUAGACUGUUAAACUAUUGGUAGCACGGAGACCUCCGUGCUAUCAAAUUGUUUUCAAUGAUACGGCUUCCAAAUUGAUGAUCGGCUCUGUUAAGCCUAAUCUACACUAUUGAAAGUAUUUAAAAACAAAAUUUCUAUUACGCCCGGGCUCCACCGGAAGCCUAACCGGUAUAUGCACAGACCCGCAGUGCGCACUAGGCAACUCCGAUGCACACAUGGCGUACACAAUAAGAAGUAUAAUGUGAACAAGAGAUAGUAAAGUUCAAAUAUCAUACACGAGAGAAUCAGAGCAUACAACGGAUUCUAUGAAAUAAAGUAAAUGAAAUACAUUGACCAUUCAAAAAUAUACAAUAUGUAUCAACUAAAAGUACAUCUCAUGAGCAAAAGGGGUCUUUAUACAACAGGUACUAACAUGCCUUUCAAGACAAAAAUCAAAAGAAAGGUGCCUCAGGUCCACCUCUAAUGACUCUCACAAGCUCUAGAUAGUCGCUAACCCCUUUCCUCGAUCACUAACCUCUCCCGCUUUGAAUCUAUUACAUCCGGGCCCCAGCAGAAGCCUACCUGGAACGUGUAUAGAUCCAUCGUGUGCACUAGGCAACACCAGUGCACACAAAGCGUACACAACAAGAAGCAUGAUGUAAACAAGAGAUAGUAAGUUCAAAUAUCAUACAUGAGAGAACAAGAGCAUACAACGGAUUCUAUGAAAUAAAGUAAAUUAAAUACAUUGAUCAUUCACAAGAUAUACAAUAUGUAUCAACAAACUGUACAUCUCAUGAGCAAAAGGGGUCUCUAUACAAAAUGUACUAACAUGCCUUUCAAGACAAAAACCAAAAGAAAGGCACCUUAGGUCUACCUCUAGCGACUCUCGUAGGCUCUAGCUAGUUGCUAAUCCUUUUUCUCGAUCCCCAGCCUCUCCUGUUGUAGAAGGCUCUACAAUAAAAACAAUCAAACAUUGGGUGUGAGAACUAUUAUAUAAUAGUUCUCAAUGGGUAAAACACUGAGAAGAGCAAAUUACACCACUAGGUCAACUGAGACAAGAUUAGUAGAUAACUAAAAUGAAAAACUAGUACCAAAGAGCUAAAACAUAAAGUUUUGAUUCUAUCUUGCCUCUAUGCUAAUUAUGCUAAUCCCAUAAGUAACUAGUUCCACCACUUUCAUGUAGAGAAGUGAGUAUGCAUGUAGUAACCACCAUCUUAUAUGCAAAGUAUGCAUGUAAUACUUGCUAGGAUAUCUAAUUUCCAUGUAUACACCAUUUAGUUAUGCUGUUUAACAUUUGAUUUAACCAACUUUUACCCAAUCGUCGAGGACCUACUUGUGGUAAGGUCGAGGGUUGUGGAGUGCCGACUUGUAGGAAGCGACCCUUACAAGAGUGUGCGAAUGAGCACAAGGGCAAGCAAGCGUAGUUAUAAGCGCAAUGUCUAAGGAUAACAAAUCUCAAACAUCACAUCUAAAAUAUGAAAUUAUAAUCAUCAACUUGAAGGUCGGAUACUAUAGUAGGUAUGAUACAUUUUCCUUCACAACUAAUUAUGAGUAGUUCACUACUAUUAUACAUCAUGUCCCUAACAUGCAAAGACUUACAUCUCAUUUCAUUCACAAAUAUUGAGGUGUUUGCUAACCACAUUCUAAUAAGAGAGUAAUUCUAUUACUCAUGCAUCAUCAUAGGGAGUUUUAAGUAUAUAACAUUUCCACUAUAGAAUGUAAAAGUAAUUUGCUCAUGUCAUAUCUGAAAGAUGCAAGGAUGUCAACCAAGUUCAUAAUUCAUGCCAUGCAUAUAACUUGCUACAUAUGCCACUACUAUAUAGAGAGUGAAAUUCGUCAUGCAAGGGAUGACCAAUCUAGAUGUCUAAAAAUUCAAUGAUGCCAUGAAUUGCAUGUUUAAUCAUUUCUUGAGUUCUAGAAUAAAGUAGGAGACAUAGAAAGGGUUCACCUAUUUUCGGUGAGGUUAAACCCACCAGAUAACUAUUGAAAUCUCGUUCGUUUCUCUAAUGACCCCAAACUUCUUAUAUCUUAAGAAAAAAUUUCAAGAGGUUACAAACUUCUAAAAGGCUUUCCCAUGAAAUUCACUAAAAAUCAAAGAGAAAUUAGGUAAAAAAUUACCUGAGUCAAAGAAAACUUGACCAAGCUUCAAACUAAAAUAAUAGGGCUUUAAUUCCAACCUGCAAGAGUGUUCUACACUCAACAAUUUCACUCUAAAAUAAAUCCUAGUUCCAUCAAGACUAGGUUUCUACCAAAAUUCUUGCAAAUCGCACAAUUAGAGAGUGCAAGAAGGUUGCUAAUCUCAAGUCAAACUUCAAUCAAAACUAUAAAUUGUUAGGGUUGAAGCUCAAGCCUUCAAACAACUCUCCUUUUCAAGCUUGAGCUCUACUCCAAGUCCUAGGAGCAAGCAUCCAUGGAAGAGAUGAAGAAAAGAAGAACAAAUCCAAGAAUUAGGAGGAUUGGAAGAAGAAAUCCAAGAAAGGGGGGAAAAGGAACCUAUCUUCUCCUUCUCUUUCACUGCCCAAAAGAGAGGGCUAAACAAGGGUGAAGUGCGUUAUAAUCCGACUAGCACGAACCCUCUUAGGUCCCUCAAAAACCAGAAAAUUACAAACUGCACGAAACUGUUUCAGAAUCAUUGAGUACCAGUACACAGUUUGGAGUACAGGUACUUGGGCAGUUCCGGUACCUCGGGGUUUAGUUCCGCAAAACCCGAACAUUAGAAUUUUUGCUUCCUAUUGCGUUCCGGUACCCACUCGUAUCAGUACCGGUACAACUUGGGUCAUUACCAGUACUCAGCCAAGUUUCGCAAAAUUUCAGAGCUGCUCAAACACACAUUUUACUGAAUUCCGGUACCCCAUUCCAGUAUCGAUACUCAAUACGGAAAAAAACUGCAGUUUUAUAAAUUUUGAGUUCCGAAAUUCGUUUUCGUGCUUAUUAAGUUUAAAAAACGAUCCUAAGCUCUCAAAACUCAAUCAAAAUCCCUAAAAAGUAUAGAAUAUUAUAUUUACACUAGAACUCCGGAAUUUGGUAAAAUUUAGUGUGCUACAAUUUCAUAAUUUUUUGAUAUUAUUUGACUAGUGAUCAGCUAUCCAACUUUUUAAAAUUUUGAUUUUACUACUUAAUAUUUAAAUUUGUUUAACUUGACUCAAUCAAUGGUGUUUUGACUUUAAAAUUUAAUUUAAUUACUUAUUUUAUUAUUUAUAUAGUUAUGAAGAAUUGCAUGAAGUAUCUUAACCAAAACUGUAAAGAUAAAUAAGACAUUCAAAUUUAAAGAUAAAAGUAUUAUUGACUGAUUCAAAUUAAAUAAAUUAAAAGGUUGGAUAGUGUUACGAGCCGUAUUUCUAGACCAUUGACACGAUUAGUACUCUCCUUCGGGAAACGAGUUGAGCAGUGGGUCGGUUCCUGAUGAUGACCCUCGAAUGUGCUCCAUACAGAAUCAAGCGAUCAGCUGAGAAGGGAUCUGUCCAGUCGAGUCCGAACACUCGAAUAUAUUAUUGACUUGGCUGAAUAAACCGAGUGACUUCAAUAUAAUUUAAAAAGAUUUCGAAAUACAGGAAGAUAAGUCCUACCCUUAACUAAAGAAAAAAUAAUAAGAUCUACUGCAGCUAAUAAGAAAAAUCUACUGUAACAAACUAGAGCAAGUCCUUAGAGCAAGUGGCAAAAAGCUUGGUGGUUGGUACCCGAGGUCCCAAGUUUGAAUCCUAGUUGAUUCACAUUUCUAGCUAAGUAUAUUUCUAAAUGAAAUAAACGAAACGGGUAGCGUGCCACCUAUCUCUCAAAACAAAAAAAUCUCAAAACAAAAAAAAAGAGAAAAAUCUACUGUAACAAAUACCUAAAUUACAGUGAUCUUUUGUACGGAAAAGAAACCUCUUAAUUAAUACUUAUUGAGGGAGUACAUUUCGGCCACGUCCUUAUUUUUUCGAAUUAUGCUCUGGCCAUUUCUCUUAACUCGCGGUGUAUCACAUGUGACUUUAUAUGUGAUUUUUUCGUUUCGUCCACGUAGUUGAGCCGGUCCUUCUAUACGGCGCAUUUUGUGACGCCAAUAAAGAGUAAAACCAAAGUAUAUAUAGUGCAGGUUAGUUAGUUCUAUAGGCGUGUUUUGUUGGUUAGCUUCGUAGGACAGCGACACCGGUUUACGACCAAUCCGGUCCAACCGCCCAGUCCGGCCCGGUUCUCUAAACAUGGGUAGGUAGCGGCAGUGAGCCGUGAGCGAGACGGGUGGUGAAAAAGAGCUUCUUCCUAUGCGCUUCUUGAAAAGGGACAGACGAGAUGAGACGAGACGAGACGAGACGAGAAAUGGUGGUGGGAUCGGGAAGUUGUGCGGAAGCAGCGGGGAUUGGGUAGCACUUUUUUCCUGCAGCUUCGCAUUGCGCACGUGCUAUAAUUAGUAAUAGCACGCACUCCAUAUGAGCCCAAAUGUCUUAAACUAUUAAUUAACUAAUAUUAUUCUUAUUCUUCCUCACGUAAUCAGGGACGAAGCUAGCAUUCGAUUAUGAGAGGGGCCAAAAUACAUACAAAUCAAAAUUUUAGCAAACAAACAAGGUUUACCUAGUUAAAUUUUUGAUGAGAAAAUAUAUUGACUAAAUAAUUAGUGUAAAAUGGCAUUACCCUUUUUUUAUUUAUACUUAACUUUUAAUUAUUUUAUUUAUAUUAUUUCACUCAAAUAACUUUGAAAUUUACUAAAUCUAAUAGUAAUUCAGUGAAUGAUUUAAUUUCUUAAUUUUUACUAAAUAUAAUUGUGACGAUAAAUAACUAUUAGUUAACAGAGCUAUUAACUUUAAUAUAAUUUUUAAUUUAAUUAAAUAAAAAAAUUAUCUAAAAUAAUUAGAAAUUAUGAACGUACUAAAUAAAAAAUAAAAUAAACUCAAAGUUGAGAGAGUAUUAUAUUAGCGUCAAAUUUUAAAAAAAAAAAACAGAAUACUCAUCAUACUUUUAAAAUUAAAUAAAUUUUUUUAAAAAAAUUGCUUAUAUAUGGCCCCCCUCAGCCCCUCAAUAGCUCCGCCCCUGCACGUAAUGCGUGACGGGAUUUCUUUUCUCUCUCUCUCUUUUCUUUUUUUUUUUCUUGGCCUCAUUCUCGCACGAGUCAAGGAUUGGGUGAAUCCAAAGAGUGGCAAUUCAUAAUGAAACUAAAAAUUUGUUAAAAAAAAAAAAAAAAACCUCAUUCUCGCACGAGUCAAGGAUUGGGUGAAUCCAAAGAGUGGCAAUUCAUAAUGAAACUAAAAAUUUGUUAAAAAAAAAAAAAAAAAAAAGAUAGUAUGCCUUUUCUUUCGCUUACUUUUUAGAAAUAAUUAAGCAGAAUUUAUUUUUUUAAAAAAAAUUAAACAAAACUGCUCCACUUUAAUCGGUGUCUUUAUUUAUUUAGAUUUUUGUUACUUUCUGGCAAUUCAAUUGUCAAUUUGAUGGGACUGGUUUAUGUUGUAAAUAAUAAUGACGAAUGUAAAGAGUAUUUAAUAACUAAAUUAGAACAUAUUUUAUUAUUAAAAAAAAAUUAUUUGUGUCUCUUUUGACUUAUGAGCUUAACUCUCGUUACCUUUGCUUUUUUUUUUCUUUUAUUUUUGUUAAAUUAUGCAAAAUAAUUAUUAUUCUCUAAAAAAACUUAAAUUACUAAAAGUAAAACUUUAAUAUUUUAUAUUCGGUAAUUUUGAUUUGGUGUUAUUUUAUUUUUAAGACUCGCGCGUUUUCUCUUUUUCGAAACAAUAUAUUUUCAAUAUAGAAUACACACAAAAUGUGCCCCUUCUUAAUUUUUUUUCCCUCUCUUUUUAUCUUACUUGUUGUGGACGAGUCUAGGACGUCUAACUGGGGCGAAUUAAACUGUAUUAUAUAUGGCUAAGCGGGACCUGCGUACCUCUUGAAUACAUGCUGUAGCUAAUCAAGCAUAUUUCUUCUUAGCAAGUGAGUGGGGUCCUUAAUUUCUUUAAUUAAUUUGAUGUUAAUGAUUAGUCGCCAUCUUAAUUAUCAAACACUUCCGAAAAGGAACCGCAGAUUUAAUUUUACAAGUUCUAUUGUGUGUGUGUGUAUAUAUAUAUAUAUAUAUAUAGAGUAGGGCUACUAUACUCUUAUGAGUAGUGGACCCUUACUACUCAUAAGUUGUUUUCGAUGAUGGAGCUUCCGAAUCGACGAUCCACUCCGUUAAAUAUGAUCUAGAGCAUUUAAAACUUCUAGAAAUUAAAUUUCAUAAUUUUUCAACAUCAUUUACCUUAUGAUCAAAAGCUCACAAAAUUGACAAUUUUUAACGGCCGGUAUGGGAUACUUGCUAGUUUAACGGUGGAAAAGAAUCGGAAUAGGUUGAAUUUUUGANAAGGAUUGGGUGAAUCCAAAGAGUGGCAAUUCAUAAUGAAACUAAAAAUUUGUUAAAAAAAAAAAAAAGAAAAAAAAAAAAAAAGCCUUUUGUUUCGCUUACUUUUUACAAAUAAUUAAGCUGAAUUUAUUUUUUUUAAAAAAAAAUUAAACAAAACUGUUCCACUUUAAGCGGUGUCUUCAUUUAUUUAGAUUUUUGUUACUUUCUGGCAAUUCAAUUGUCAAUUUGAUGGGACUGGUUUAUAUUGUAAAUAAUAAUGACGAAUGUAAAGAGUAUUUAAUAACUAAAUUAGAACAUAGUUUAUGAUUAAAAAAAUUUAUUUGUGUCUCUUUUGACUUAUGAGCCUAACUCUCGUUACCUUUGCUUCUUUUUUUUUCUUUUUUUUUUUGUUAAAUUAUGCAGAAUAAUUAUUAUUCUCUAAAAAAACUUAAAUUGCUAAAAAUAAACCUUUAAUAUUUUAUAUUCGGUAAUUUUGAUUUGCUGUUAUUUUAUUUUUAAGACUCGCGCGUUUUCUCUUUUUCGAAACAAUUUAUUUUCAAUAUAGAAUGCACACAAAAUGUGCCCCCUCUUAAUAUUUUUUUCCUCUCUUUUUCUCUUACUUGUUGUGGACGAGUCUAGGACGUCUAACUGGGGCGAAUAAAACUGUAUUAUAUAUGGCUAAGCGGGACCUACGUACCUCUUGAAUACAUGCUGUAGCUAAUCAAGCAUAUUUCUUCUUAGCAAGUGAGUGGGGUCCUUAAUUUCUUUAAUUAAUUUGAUGCUAAUGAUUGGUCGCCAUCUUAAUUAUCAAACACUUCUGAAAAGGAACCGCAGAUUUAAUUUUACGAGUCCUAUGGUGUGUGUGUCUGUUGUGAUAAUAUAAUAAUUACUAUAUUCUUAUAAUAUAAUAUUAGAAUAAAAGAGUAGGGCUGACUAUCUCUUUAUGAAGUGUGGACAUUACUACUCAUAAUUUGAUUUUCGAGAUGGAGCUUUCCGAAUCGACGAAUACCAUCCGUAAAAUAUGAUCUAGAGGCAUUAAAACUUGCUAGAAAUUAAAUUUCAUAAUUUUCACAUCCUAUUUACCUUAUGAUCAAGAGAAGCUCACCAAAUUGAGCAAUUUUUAACGGGCGCGUAUGGGAUCUUUGCUAUUUAAACGGUGGAUAAGAGAAUCGGAAUAGGUUGAAAUUCUUUUGAUAGAAAAUUCUAUUCACUACUAGAUAAAGACAAUUACUCCGAUCUUUAAUGGGGAUCCGAUCCAAUCCAUUUUUUAGGACAUCGUCGUCUUGACGUUCAUUUAUUCCCCGCUUGAAUGCUUUAAUUAUGAUUUCGAAAAAUACGAAAUUUAUUUCACUAGAAUUUCAAUACUCUAAAUCAUAUUUGAACGGAGGAUCGUGUCGAUUCGAAGCCUAUCAAUCAACAACAACUUAUGAUAGAAGGAUCCACUACUCAUAAGAGUAAGUUAGCCUACUCUAUAUAAUAUAUAUAUAUAUAUAUAUAUAUAGAGAGAGGAGAGAGAGAGAGAGAGAGGAGAGAGAGAGAGAGAGAGAGAGAGAGAAAGAGAGUAGAGAGAGAAGAGAGAGACGUUGGACUGAUCUCAAUAUUAGUUAGCAAAAAUCUCAUUGUGCAACCAGUUUUUUUAGCCCUUAGAUCAACUCUUUCUAUUAUUCUCUCUAACCAUUGGAUUAAAUACUAUAAACCAGUGGGGACCACUCAACCCUAGGGGACAUUCCAGCUCUAACUGAUUAAUAUAUCCUGACGUUAAUUAUUUCAUUAAAGGUUAAAAAACUUGAUCUUUACCUAUUAAUAUAUCACGGCCUAAUUCUGAAAUAUAUAUUAUUUAAUUAUAAUAUAUAUAUAAUAUAUAUAUAUAUAUAUUAUAUAUAUAAUAUAUAUUAUUAUGAAACUUACUGAGUUCUAUUGUAUAUAUACGAAACUUUCUAGUUGUGUUGUCAUUUUAAUUUGCCUAUUCAAUAUAUACUAUUUAAUCUUUUAAUUAUUUUAAUUUGAGUCAAUUAACAAUAGUUUGAUUUUUAAAUUUGAAUAUAUAUAUUUUGUUUAUCAUUAAAGAUUUAAUUAGCAGUAUGCUCCGUACAAUCUUUGCAACGAUAAACUCAGUAAAAUGAGUAAUUAACUUAAAUUUGAAAGUCAAAGUACCAUACGUUUUCUAACACAUACCAAACAAACUGAAAGGUUCGAUAAUAAAAUUAAAAUUUUAAAAAAUUAGGCAUCUAAAUCAAAAUGGUUUAUAGUGCAAAUAAGUUAUAUAUGUACGUACUUUACCUCUUUUGAACAUAUAUUUUAUAUAAGCAUCAAAAGUUUUCAAACUUCUCUAAUGCCUGAGAUGCAUGGCUAUUAAUUUUUAGCCUACCGUAAAUUAAAUGUCUGUCUUAUUUAUUUUGAUCUAAUUAGCAUGCAUAAUCAUGCAAAAAGACUAUUUUACAACAAAUUAAAUUAACUCUCUUCUUUUAAUUUACAAAUACUAAUUAAGUGCCAAAUUUAAAAUGUAAAUUUAUAGAAAAUAUAAAAGAAGAGCCAACUUAAUUAACUAUCAAAGGUCAGUUAUGUGGUGGAAAUUAUCAAGACAAGAAGAUCUCUAAUUAGAAUUGAAUUCCAAAAACAGCAGUAGAGUAGAAGAAUGAUAGAAGUUUCCUGGGGCGACGCAUGAGAAGGUUAGAGAGGAAACAUGCAUGCACUUGUGGAAAUUAUCCUCGCUCUUUGUUUGCACUUUCGCUGCCAAUGAGGAAUCUAAUCAUCUAGUUGACACUUUAUGAGCUCUUUAAUUACCCCCAAAAUGGUCAACCCUUUUCUUUCUUUUUUUUCCUUAGUACCUCUCUAGAAAUUAGCCUAAUUAUAAAUAACAAUCAAAUUUUUAGAGUGACUAAUUACAACAUAAUAUUCAACCACUUUUACAGAUGGCCAUCUAAACUGUAAAAUUAUCAUAUUUGUCACACCAACUUUUAUAAUUUUGUGAUUAGCCCCUAAGUAAACGCCGUCUUAAUCAACAACGUAUUGAACUAACAAUCUCAGUUUCAAAAAUGAAUCAGCAGCCGCUUCUCAUUCUUACCCGUUCCGGGCCAAAUCCAGUUCGUCUUCGAACGCUUUUUUUUUUUGCUCCUGAUGCACCACAUAUCACCCUUCGAUUUGCCCACGUCAAUCAACCACGUUGACCGAGCUGUCUACUAGUUAGCGCUAUUUUCUUGCACCAACUGUCACUAAGCUUUCGAUGAAACUUCGUUUAGGUUACUAAAUUGUAAUUUGUUUCGAUUAUGUUACUGAAUUUUAUUUUCUAUUUCAGUUUGACCACUUUGUUAAAUAUUCUAUAUUUUAUCGAACAACAUGGCAAAAUAGUAGCUAACUUGCCAAAUUAUGUUCUAUGCAGGACCCGAAAAUUAAUUUAUCAUCUAGAAACGAUCGACUGCAAAUUUAGUUAUCAACAUAUCUUGUCGAGAUAAUAUAACAAUUUGAAUAAUAAUUGUAGAACGCAGCGGAAGUAUUCGUUCGUAUCUUUUUGAGGAAACGAUUCGCGUUACAACGCGAUGAGCCCGGAUCGUCGAGGUUGAUUCACGUGUCCUUUGAUCGUCCUUGAUUAAAUCUUCUCACGUUCAAAACUCGCAAUGGAUCGAACUACAAACGAGCACGAUCACAAAUCCAUCGUUCAAGUCCCUCUUAGAAUAAUAGGUUGAUGGAGGAUGUGGUUUUUCUCUUUUGUUUUCUUAUUCUCUUUUCUUUUUCCAUUCUUGUACAUUUUUGUUAUGUGGGAUCGCCCGUAUAUUUAUAAGGGAUUCCAAAAUCCUAAUAAUAUUUGAAAUAAGGCCAAAUCGGUUAUUAAUUAUUAUUUUAAUAUGACUAGAAUUUAUCUCUAACUAACUUUUCAAUUUGAAAGCGAGAUUAAUUCUAAUCCAAUUAGAUAACAUAACAUCCGUCGGAUCGAACCCGCUUAUGGGCGUAUCCGAUUCGAUUUAACCGAACGCCAACAAUAAUAAUUUUGAAAUAAUGUAAAAAUCUAGUUAACUAUUAAUGAUUGUCAUGUCGUUUUCAGUUUUCGAAUUAGUUGCCAUUAUUAAUUCACCAAGAAAUAAUAAAAUUAAAGUCCAGCAGCGUCCUAAUUAACUGAAUUUUCACAGGAAAUUCAGUAACUAAUGAUGUAAUUUAAUCUAUCAAAAUACCGCAAAGAAUGUUUAUGCAUAUGAAACUCUUUAUUAGCAUCAUUCUGUUGCGCACCCGGACGAUCCGCAACCGCCGAUGAUGAGAUUGCUCUGAGGCCGGUAUGGCGGUGAGGAUGAUGGGCGUAUUUCAGUCGCGAUUAAGAUGAGAAAGUGAUAAGGAAUAAGGGAGAGAAGGAAAGAUCAGAUGUAAGAAGAGACAGAGUAGAGAAUAGAAACAGAGGGAGAUGAAGUUGAGAAAGAAAGCAUUAAUUUCAUUCAUUGCCUAAUUCCUAUUACACGCUGCCUCUUAUUUGCAAUCUGAAGAAAACCCUAAACCUAACUGGACUCCUAGGACUCCUCUCGGUGGCCCACGUAACAUGGGCCUUGCUGGCCCGCUUCUUGAGAGAUAUCGGAUCAGACCCCCUCGACUAUCCGCAUCCGCCCAAAGCCGCCCCAUCAGAAUAAUCUAGAAGCUGGGUCACUUCCCACUGCUCUUCACUCCUGUCGGAUUGCCCUCUUUCCUCUACCUCUUCCUAAGUCGUCCCUUCUCCUUCCUACGCCUCCCUCCUACCGCCGAUCCUUGCCGACGCACGGCACACCUCCUGGAACCUGGACAAAGAAGAAGAAGUUAAGUCCUUCUCCUCUCUUAUUAUUCCGACCAUAUCCUCUACUGCUGCUACUAACUCCUUCUUCUACUUGGCAGGUGCAACAAUCCCCCCUACUUGAGUUGAUCCUUGCCCUCAAGGAUCAAAAGAUGGAUANCUUAAUCAACAACGUAUUGAACUAACAAUCUCAGUUUCAAAAAUGAAUCAGCGGCCGCUUCUCAUUCUUACCCGUUCCGGGCCAAAUCUAGUUCGUCUUCGAACGCUUUUUUUUUCGGCUCCUGAUGCACCACAUAUCACCCUUCGAUUUGCCCACGUCAAUCAACCACGUGAACCGAGCCGUCUACUAGUUAGCGCUAUUUUCUUGCACCAACCAUCACUAAGCUUCCGAUGAAACUUCGUUUAGGUUAAUUACUAAAUUGUAAUUUGUUUCAAUUAUAUUACUGAAUUUUAUUUUCUAUUUCACUUUGACCUUCUUUGUUAAAUAUUCUAUAUUUUAUCGAACAACAUGGCAAAAUAGUAGCUAACUUGCCAAGUUUUCACAGGAAAUUCAAUAACUAAUGAUGUAAUUUAAUCUAUCAAAAUACCGCAAAGAAUGUUCAUGCAUAUGAAACUCUUUAUUAGCAUCAUUCUUGCAACAUUAAGUAGUUUUCCUUAAUUAAUGAUACAUUCUCUCUACCUGUAUACUGUUCUUCUAGAAAGAUUAAAUUCUAAAACAUAUGCAUAUCUACAGAUAUAAAUAUAUAUUCAUAUAAAUCCAAAUGAGCCCACGCCAUUUUUAGGACGACCUUGAGUCCACAUCCACCUGUAUACUGUUUUCUCUUCUUUUUUUUAAAAAUAAAAAAAAAAUAAAAACACCUAAAAGACGGAUCAACAAAGGGAAGUCCUACUUGGCAUAUAAUAACAACAAUAAUAAUAAUAAUAAUAUUAUUAUUAUUAUUAUAUUAAUAACUAUAUAGCCACCAAUUAAAGAAAACAAAUGCACAUGUAUUUAAAUCUAAGGCAUGCAUCAAAGUUAUUAUAUUUAAGCAACCUCCUAGUCCAACUUUUAUUAGAGUUUAGGAUAACUACUCACUCCUUAAAACUAAUCCAAAUAAAAUAUCACCUAACAGAAACAGCCAGUCUCAUUUGGGACCCAGAUUUACACCCAACCUCAACAGUAGUCAGUAGGCUGUCCAACAUAAAGUAUCAAAAAAUUAUUUUUCAAGAGAUUAAGUUUUUAGAGAUAAAUAAUCAUUUUAUAGACACCAAAGAAUUCGAAUCCCACCGGUCUCCUAGGUAAACGGUUGUUUCGGACAUGUCAUUUUGAAACCAUCCUUUUAUGUCCUUUGUUGAAAUUUUUUAAAAUUUUGAUUUAAAUAAUUUGAGUCCAAUAAAUUAAAAAUUUUAGUGAAUUCAUCAAUAAUUCCUUUAGAUUUAGUUAUUCUAAUUAUGUUUUGGUAAAAAAAAAUUAGAGCAAUUAAUGGCUAAAAAGUUGAUAGAAUAAUUAUACUUGAAUUUUUAUUUUUAUUUUUUUUAACUUUGCUAUCUAGAUUAAAUCAAACAAUUUCCUACGGCGGCCAAAGCAUUGGGGAAAAAAAAAAAUCUUUCAAAAUGUCUACAAAUAGUGAGAGAUAUCCAUGGACGGAAAAUGUCUAAAAUAUGGUGGUAGCGUAAUAGCACUAUAUCUUCAUGCCACCAAUCAAAUUGUGUCUACAAAUUUACCUAUUUCAUUAUAUUUUUUUUUAAAAAAAUAUUAUAUUUAGUGAUAAAAAGAGAAAUUUGAUUAAUUUAAAAUAUAAAUAAUGUGACGCAACUGUUACAUAAAAGAUCACGUCCUAUGUUAUUGAUCAUAUAUUUUACCUUAUAUAUAUAUAUAAUAUUUAAGAGAUAAUUGUCUAUAUAUAUGUAUCCUUCAAAACUUUUAAAAUAUUUUAUUUAUCUUUACUUAUUUUUUUUUUCUUUCCAAUAUACCCCUCAUAUGUUUCUCUAUUAUUCCAAAAUACUUCUACAAUUAUCAUCCGUUAAGUUAAUUUGGAUUAAACGUGAGUUAAAUAUCUAGCACAGUUAAAAAAAAAUUAAAAUGCCACUUUUGUUCUUAACUUAAGGGCAAAUAAGAAAUGUUGGUGAUGGUAGAAGAGUAUAUUUGAAAAGACCAAAAAGUAAAAUAUAUUUUGUAUCCCCUAACUUAAGAGCAAAUAAGAAAAGCCAGUAAUAUAUGGUAGAAGGAUAUAUUUUAUAGAGAUAAUAUAAUUCAUUAACAAAUUUUAAUUCUAGCGAUAUANUUUAUAAUAUAAAACAUGCAGUAACUUUCUAUGUGGUUCAGUACAAUACUCUGAAUUGAGUCCCGAACUUUCUAUGCUUCAGCUUAGUUCUCUCCAAAUUAACUCCUUCCAAUUUAUUUAAUAAUCAAAAAUUUUUUAUCAACUAAAACAGGAGAUUUAAUUAAUUUGUUAGUGAUCUAACAUAUAUGCGAGGGGUAGGGGUCUUUAUUCAUUUUUCACCAGUUUAGAGAAUAAAUGACUUGAAAAGAAAUAUUUUCUAUAAAACUGAUUAAAUAGGAAAUGUUUGGCAUAAUUAACACCCCAACCAGUCCACGUGGCGCUGAUGUGGCGCCUACGUGGCAAUAUCAGAAUCAUUUUUACAAAUUUAAAUUUAUUAUAGCUAUUUUUUAAAGGCUAAUUGUAAAAAAAAAAAAA